GAGAGAUGGCUCAGUGGUUAAGAGCACUGGAUGAUCUUCCAGAGGACCUGGGUUCAGUUCCUAGCACUCA
Molecule: transfer RNA, 70 nt
Filed under: Cricetulus griseus (Chinese hamster)
Lineage: Eukaryota; Metazoa; Chordata; Mammalia; Rodentia; Cricetidae
Rfam family: tRNA
About the family: Transfer RNA (tRNA) molecules are approximately 80 nucleotides in length. Their secondary structure includes four short double-helical elements and three loops (D, anti-codon, and T loops).
Source: Rfam by way of RNAcentral